GCCCUAGUAGCUUAUACUAUCUAAAGCGUUGUCCUUGUAAGACAAAGCUGGAACAACCCCUAGAGCA
RNAcentral lists this transfer RNA (67 nucleotides) under Elaphe schrenckii (Amur rat snake). RNAcentral's name for it is "tRNA-Thr". Lineage: Eukaryota; Metazoa; Chordata; Lepidosauria; Squamata; Colubridae. The record is from RNAcentral. RNAcentral also lists the same sequence under 1 other name.